UCGGAUCGGAUCGGAUCGGAGACGGGACGGGGAAUGGGUGGGCGGGCGGUUCGCUCUCAGGACACCGAGGUAAAAUCCCGGAGUCAGUGCGCGUCCACUUUUUUUUUCACGGACUUCUUGUUCUUUCACUGUUUCUGCUGGGUAUCUCGGGACUCGGGAAUUAAAAGGAGGCGCGCAGGUUCGGAUCCAUGAUAAAAUUAAAGAUGAAAGGCUUUAGUAAGUGGAAGAAAAGCUGAUUGAAAAAGCAUUUGAGAAAGAAAUAAUGAGCUCAAAUCCUACCGCCAAACGAGGAGACGGGGCACAGACCCCAAAAGUUCAACAGCCUCCAGCUAGACAACUGUAUGGUCAGUUUGGCCAGAGCAACCAGUCUGAGAGGAUGCUGACCAGCGACUCAUCGGCUCACAGUUUUCCAUCUCCAUCUCCUUUGCCACAGCAGCUGAACAAGCAGCACGUGGACGUGUGUAGUGACUGGGACAGCAUUGAAGGUUUGUACCAUCGGGAGCUGGAAGAGGUUCGAGCCAGAGCUGCGCAGAUGGAGAAGACCAUGCGCUGGUGGUCGGACUGCACUGCGAACUGGCGGGAGAAAUGGAGCAAGGUGAGGGCGGAGCGCAACAAGGCGCGUGAGGAAGUCCGCCAGAUGCGGCAGAAGCUGGAGUCAGUUGCGAAGGAGUUAGCUGCCAUGAAACGAGAAAAGCAGGAGCUGUUAGAGGAAAAUGAGCGGCUGAGAAGGGCGGCCAAGCCAACAGAAACACCGUCAGCGGCUCUGGUCAGACUGGAGGAGUACGAACUCAAUGCGCUGGAACAGGAACCCGUCAAAGAUGUUAAAAAUAAUAAAAACCCAUCAUCCCCAAACAAAUUCACUGGUUCACCCAAGAAGGAUAUUGAUAUAAUUGAGAAUAUACUAAGAGAGAAACAAGAUGGAGGAGGACAAAGUCUGGAGUCUUCAACCAUCUGCUCUGAAAGACCCAAGCAUCUGCUGGAAGAUACUCUGCAACCUUUUGAGGACGACUCCAUUAAAACCAUGGCUCUGCAGUUUCGUCUGGAUGAGUCACAGAAAAUCCUGCAGAAAGAAAGAGAGGACAAAGCUGCGCUUGGAAGGCAGAUUGAAAGACUAGAAGCUGAUUUAUCUCAGUGGAAGAUCAAAUACGAAGACGUGAGCAAAUCAAAGCAGGAGGUCCUUAAACAGUUGACCCUUCUCCGUGAUGCUCAUCAGAAUGAGCUCGGGCGAAUCUCGGAAGAUCUGGAGGAUGAAGUCGGAGCACGAUCAAACAUGGACAGGAAACUGGCUGAUCUUCGUGCUGAGUUGGAAAGACUUCAGGUCGAGAACACUGCGGAGUGGGGGAAGAGAGAGCGGCUGGAGACGGAGAAGCUGGGUUUGGAAAGGGACAACAAAAAAUUAAAAGCCCAUAUUGACGAGCUGGAGAAACUGCUGGCAAAGAGAAGUCAACAAACCACAAAUUUAAAUGAUUCGGACUUCAAAGCUAUGCAGAUUGAACUAUUUGAGAAAAAUAAGGAGCUGUCUGACCUUCGGCAUGCCCUCAAUAAACUGAAGAAGCAAUAUCAAGAGAAAAUGGCAGAACUUACUCAUUCCAAUAGGAGGGUAGAGCAGCAUGAAUCUGAGGUGAAGAAGUUAAGACUGCGUGUGGAAGAACUGAAGAAAGAGCUGGCACAAACAGAAGAUGAGUUGGAUGACUCACUGAACCAGAUCAGGAAACUGCAGCGUUCAUUGGAUGAACAGACAGAACUGAAUGACAAUCUUCAGGUCCAGUUUGACCACCUGCAGACCAGCUGGGACUUGCAUGUCUGACAGUAGUGAGAACCGAGAGGAAGCUACUGACAUGAUGAAGGAUGCCUGGACCACCAUCAGAGACGGAGGACCUUCAUUGUUGCCCUAAACGCCAGUGGCAUGAUGGGCAGAAAAUAAGUAAGGUGGGAAACCAGAACUGCAUCCAAUACACCAAAUUAGCCAUCAAUGACAUCUUAUAUGUAUUAUAUCUGUAUAUGAUUUUAAUAAGUUCAUAUCAUCAUUUUAUGAGGAAAGCAGCUUCACAAAAUUAACCACUCGAGGAUUAACUCCACCUUUGAUGGAAGAUCAUGCCAUUUUCUGUCAACUCCUUUCCAUUGUGCGGAAGGUACAGAAGCCUGAAGACCGAUAUCAUCUGGUUCAAGAUCAGCUAUUUCCCUCCAAGCACUUGAACUAAUCUGCACAACCAUGAUCGCUACCUCCAUAUAGUAACACUUUGACUACUUUGAACAGUUUACACUGCAAUAGACUUUGAUUUGUUUUUGUUCUAAUUGUGAUCUUUCUUGUGAAAAGUGUGUAUAAUUUAUGUUUUUCUUGUGUAUGUCGUCUAUCGGAUGUUAUAUGAAAUCUACAGUGAACUGUCAGGUCAGUAGAAAAUAUCACUGUCUCCAGUCUACCAUCACCACAGGACCUGUAUGUGUCCAGGACAAAGAAAAAUCAUUGGGGAUCCUACCCACCCAGCAAACUGCCUUUAUAAAAGUUCUAUUCUUCAAAGCACUAUAGAACUAUUAAAAAAAACUUCACGCCAUUUUAAAAGUUUCUUCCCCUGGGUAGUUAAUCUGAUCAAAUAUUUUAGUUUGUACUCCCCCCAGUCCCCUCUAUCUAUUACUCAAUGACGCUGUAGACACUUAACCACUUUUCGUAGUGCUGUUUACAAUGUAAAUACAUGCUAUUAUUUGUGUAUUUAUGUGCAUUUUAUUCCAUAUCCAUCCUUUAACCUCUGUUUAUUAGCUUUUUAUUAUUUAAAUAUUGUUGGCACCUGGCCUAGUGGAUAAGGCAUCGGUCUAGCGAUCUGAAGGUCACUGGUUUGAGCCUCAGCUGAGGCAGCGUGUUGUGUCCUUGAGCAAGGCACUUAACAACACAUUGCUCUGCGACGUCACUGGUGCCAAGCUGCAUGGGUCCUAGUGCCCUUCCCUUGGACAACAUCUGUAGCGUGGAGAGGGGAAGGCCUGCAGCUUGGGCAACUGCUGGUCUCCCAUACAACCCUGCCCAGGCCUGCACUCUGGAAACCUUCCAAGGCACAAAUCCAUGGUCUCACGAGACUAAUGGAUGCCUAUAAAAAAUUUAGAUAUAAUUCUUUAUUUAUUAUAUAAUUCUUUAUUCUUAUAAUUAUUGAAUAUUGUUUUUGUUGUACA
Hypanus sabinus (Atlantic stingray) is the source of this 3159-nucleotide RNA transcript. It is a transcript of the gene named coiled-coil domain-containing protein 102A-like, with no coding region annotated. The record is from RefSeq and is a predicted model, not a curated record. Lineage: Eukaryota; Metazoa; Chordata; Chondrichthyes; Myliobatiformes; Dasyatidae. The transcript has 10 exons.